Molecule: ribosomal RNA, 498 nt
Filed under: Hoffmannihadrurus aztecus
Lineage: Eukaryota; Metazoa; Arthropoda; Arachnida; Scorpiones; Caraboctonidae
Description: partial 16S ribosomal RNA
Rfam family: Bacterial large subunit ribosomal RNA
Source: RNAcentral
AAACAUGGUUUUUAGUUUUUAUUGAAAAUCCGACCUGCUCAGUGCUUAUUUGUAAAUAGCCGCGGUAUUAUAACUGUGCAAAGGUAGCAUAAUCACUAGUCUUUUAAUUUGGGACUGGAAUGAAAGGUUUCACCAAAUGUUUCUGUCUUAUUUGAAUAUUUUGAAUUUUAUAAUUUAGUAAAAAAGCUAAAAUUAUAUUUGGGGACGAGAAGACCCUAUCAAGCUUUACAAUUAAUUUUUUGUUUUCAAAUCAGAAAUGAAAUUGUUUAACUGGGGCAGUUGGUAAAUUUGUUUUACUUUUAUAUUGUGUUAAUUUAACUUGUUAAAUCAAGAAGUUUUUAAUAAGGAAUAAGUUACUGUAGGGAUAACAGCAUAAUUUUUUUAGAGAGUUCUUAUCAUCAAAAAAUUUUGUGACCUCGAUGUUGGAUUAAAAGUUCUAGUUGGCGCAAUAGCUGAUUAAGGAAGUCUGUUCGACUUUUAAAAUUUUCCAUGAUCUGA